GAUGAACGCUGGCGGCGUGCCUAAUACAUGCAAGUAGAACGCUGAAGGAGGAGCUUGCUCUUCUGGAUGAGUUGCGAACGGGUGAGUAACGCGUAGGUAACCUGCCUGGUAGCGGGGGAUAACUAUUGGAAACGAUAGCUAAUACCGCAUGACAACAGUUAUUGCAUGAUAACUGUUUAAAAGGGGCAACUGCUCCACUACCAGAUGGACCUGCGUUGUAUUAGCUAGUUGGUGAGGUAACGGCUCACCAAGGCGACGAUACAUAGCCGACCUGAGAGGGGGAUCGGCCACACUGGGACUGAGACACGCCCCAGACUCCUACGGGAAGCAGCAGUAGGGAAUCUUCAGCAAUGGACGGAAGUCUGACCGAGCAACGCCGCGUGAGUGAAGAAGGUUUUCGGAUCGUAAAGCUCUGUUGUAAGAGAAGAACGAGUGUGAGAGUGGAAAGUUCACACUGUGACGGUAUCUUACCAGAAAGGGACGGCUAACUACGUG
This 495-nucleotide ribosomal RNA is filed under the name uncultured bacterium. RNAcentral's name for it is "partial 16S ribosomal RNA". It matches the Rfam family "Bacterial small subunit ribosomal RNA", at positions 28 to 507 of the family's 1533-position model. The record is from RNAcentral.